UGGCUCAGAUUGAACGCUAGCGGGAUGCUUUACACAUGCAAGUCGAACGGCAGCGCGAAGAGAGCUUGCUCUUUUUGGCGGCGAGUGGCGAACGGGUGAGUAAUAUAUCGGAACGUGCCCAGUAGCGGGGGAUAACUACGCGAAAGCGUGGCUAAUACCGCAUACGCCCUACGGGGGAAAGGGGGGGAUCGCAAGACCUCUCACUAUUGGAGCGGCCGAUAUCAGAUUAGCUUGUUGGUGAGGUAAAGGCUCACCAAGGCCGCGAUCUGUAGCUGGUUUGAGAGGACGACCAGCCACACUGGGACUGAGACACGGCCCAGACUCCUACGGGAGGCAGCAGUGGGGAAUUUUGGACAAUGGGGGAAACCCUGAUCCAGCCAUCCCGCGUGUGCGAUGAAGGCCUUCGGGUUGUAAAGCACUUUUGGCAGGGAAGAAAAGGCGCCGGAUAAUACC
RNAcentral lists this ribosomal RNA (453 nucleotides) under uncultured Pusillimonas sp. RNAcentral describes it as "bacterial SSU rRNA". It matches the Rfam family "Bacterial small subunit ribosomal RNA", at positions 20 to 479 of the family's 1533-position model. The record is from RNAcentral. Lineage: Bacteria; Pseudomonadati; Pseudomonadota; Betaproteobacteria; Burkholderiales; Alcaligenaceae.